Pungitius pungitius (ninespine stickleback) is the source of this 1382-nucleotide RNA transcript. RefSeq lists it as uncharacterized. The transcript is spliced from 7 exons. Lineage: Eukaryota; Metazoa; Chordata; Actinopteri; Perciformes; Gasterosteidae. The record is from RefSeq and is a predicted model, not a curated record.
UAAAUGUUGAGUUGGCAUGUUAGACUCGAGGAUCGAACAUUCCCAUAUUUACGGUAAUUGUGUUCCCGUUGUGUAACAACGCAUGGAGAAAGCGCGGUAUUUUAGUCACUUCAUGCUGCAAGGCAAGAUGGCCAGUCCUGAACUAGCCCUUGUCAUAGAGCGAGCUGUUGCAGCUGGCGUUAGGGCGGCCCUCCAAGACCGACCGACGCCUACACCAGGAACAAGUCUCGUCGCAACAGACACCACAUCAUUGCCGUCGGUAUCAGCAGUGAUUUCAUCACCAAGUACAGCGACCACAUCACAGAGAUCGGUACCUCUUCCAUCUUUUCCCCAACGAAGUGGUGCAAGACCGGGGUUAAUAAGACGAAGACCUUACAAAACAUUCACAAAGGACAUUGUGUGUUUGCCUUGGUCGACAAACACAAUCUUCUCCAUACCAAGAGGAGACACCAGAACGAAAUUAGCGGAAGAUGGCCUCAUUGGCAAAAUAUCAUUUUCAUCCGAGUGGUCUGAAGUCCAAUUAAAAUUGGAAAUAACAGCCAUCUUUAGAGCCACGUUCGGAUUGUCGGAGAACCAGGAAUUCCCAUUUGAAUAUUUAUGCACCAUAAAGGGAUGUAAAAAACUGAUGAAACCCAAGGUCACCAACUCUUUUCCAUGGGGAGGAAAAGAAGUUGCGUCCAUCUGCUCAAACACAUGCCUGUACAUUUUAGCAGGAAUGCAGAGACCUGCCGAGGAGGAAUUUAUAGCAGUGUCUGAUGACAGUGACUUUGAAGAUCCUGCACCACGGAGAAGGAGAGCCCUGUGGAUUAUGAGGAAGAUGAAGCUGUGGAUGAGGCCAUAAGACGCAGUCUUUUGGAAGAGUCGGUCUUGCUUGAUUCAAGGUCUUCAGAAGUUUUGACCAGAGAAGAGAUAACUGGAAUUCUGAAAGCACAUGCCGAAAUGGUUGUUACCCCAACGCCGAGACCAAUCUUCAUAAGCCGGAGUAAUGUUUGGACCACUGCCUUUCGGCAAUUCAACAGACCCAGAUUUUCAGAGAGCUCUGGAAUGCUUUAUGUCACGUUUGCAAGUGAUGAAAUGGAGGAAGAUGCUGAAGAUUUGGGAGGGCCACGACGAGAGUUCUUUCGUUUGCUUGUGAGGGCUAUCUUCCAAGGCAGUGGAGCAUUUGAAGAGUCUCCCAACGGGUUUACUCCAAAGCUGAACAUAGCUCAUGUGCAAAACGGAGUGUACAGAACCAUUGGAAAGAUGAUGUCUACCAUAAUAGUCCAAGGUGGUGAACCACCAGCAUUCCUUGCACCACAUGUAGUGGACUACAUUGUGACUGAAGAUAUCCUGCAAGUACGUGUCACUCCUGAUGACAUAGCUGACGCGGAGUUAAGGGAUUC